Molecule: ribosomal RNA, 440 nt
Filed under: uncultured bacterium
Lineage: Bacteria
Description: partial 16S ribosomal RNA
Rfam family: Bacterial small subunit ribosomal RNA
Source: RNAcentral
CCUACGGGUGGCAGCAGUGGGGAAUAUUGCACAAUGGGGGAAACCCUGAUGCAGCGACGCCGCGUGAGUGAAGAAGUACUUCGGUAUGUAAAGCUCUAUCAGCAGGGAAGAAAAUGACGGUACCUGAGGAAUCCGCCACGGCUCACGACGUGCCAGCAUCCGCGGUCAUACGUAGGGGGCAAGCGUUAUCCGGAUUUACUGGGUGUAAAGGGGGUGUAGGCGGGAAAGCAAGGCAGAUGUGAAACCCAUGGGCUCAACCGGUGGCCUGCAUUUGAAACUGUUGGGCUUGAGUACUGGAGAGGCAGGCGGAAUUCGUGGUGUAGCGGUGAAAUGCGUAGAUAUUAGGAGGAACACCAGUGGCGAAGGCGGUCUGCUGGACAGCAACUGACGCUGAGGCGCGAAAGCGUGGGGAGCAAACAGGAUUAGAUACCCUUGUAGUC